GCAGCCCCCAGCCGGGCGCGCGUGGGGCGGUGUCGCGCGGGGCUGUGUGGCGCCCGCCCGCGGUGCAUGAGCUCGUCCCCCCGCGCCUGGCCCAUUGUGCUGGGGGGGACCCUCCCUCGGGCUCCCGCCCGCCCUCCUCCAUGGCCAUGCUGCUGGACGGGGGGGCGCAGUUCCCCGCCCUGGGCGUCGGGGGCUUCGGGGCCCCCCGCCACCACGAGGGGCCCAGCCGCGGCGACGCCGCCGCCGGGAUGGGGCUGAGCCCCUUCGGGGACGCCUCGCACGCGGCCGCCUUCAAGCUCAGCCCGGCCGCCCACGAGCUCUCGUCCGGGCAGAGCUCGGCCUUCACCCCGCAGGGCUCGGGCUAUGCCAACGCGCUGGGGCACCAUCACCACCACCACCACCACCACCACGCCGGCCAGGUGCCCGCCUACGGGGGCGCGGCCGCCGCCUUCAGCUCCACGCGGGACUUUCUCUUCCGCCAGCGGGGCUCCGGCCUCGGGGAGCCCGCCCCCGGGGGCGCCCAGCACGGCAUCUUCGGCGGCUCCCCCGGCAGCCUGCACGGGCCGCCGGGCAUCGCGGAGAGCCCGGGCUACCUGCUCUUCCCGGGGCUGCACGAGCAGGGCCCCAGCCACGCCUCGCCCGGCGGGCACGUGGAGAACGGGCAGAUGCACCUGGGGCUGCGGGGGGAUCUCUUCGGCCGGCCCGACCCUUACCGGGCCGUCUCCAGCCCCCGCACGGACCCGUACGCCGGCGCCCAGUUCCACAACUACAACCCCAUGAACAUGAAUAUGGGCAUGAACGUGGCGGCCCAUCACCACCACGGCCCGGGGGCUUUCUUCCGCUACAUGCGCCAGCCCAUCAAGCAAGAGCUGUCCUGCAAGUGGGUCGAGGAGAGCCAGAUCAACCGCCCCAAAAAGAGCUGCGACCGGACAUUCAGCACCAUGCACGAACUGGUCACCCAUGUGACGAUGGAGCAUGUCGGGGGGCCGGAGCAGAACAACCACAUCUGCUACUGGGAGGAAUGUCCGAGGGAAGGCAAGUCCUUCAAGGCGAAAUACAAACUGGUGAACCACAUUCGGGUUCACACGGGGGAAAAACCGUUCCCUUGCCCGUUCCCAGGCUGCGGGAAAAUCUUUGCCAGGUCCGAGAAUCUGAAGAUCCACAAAAGGACGCACACAGGUGAAAAACCUUUUAAGUGUGAAUUUGAAGGCUGUGAUAGACGUUUUGCGAACAGUAGUGACAGAAAGAAGCACAUGCAUGUACACACUUCAGACAAACCUUAUAUCUGUAAAGUGUGUGAUAAGUCUUACACGCACCCCAGCUCUCUUAGGAAACACAUGAAGGUUCACGAAUCGCAAGGGUCAGAUUCCUCCCCAGCUGCCAGUUCAGGCUACGAAUCGUCCACUCCGCCCACUAUAAGUUCUGCAAACAGUAAAGACUCUACUAAAAGUCCUCCAUCAGCAGUUCAAAGUAACACAAGCCACAACCCCGGACUUCCACCCAAUUUUAACGAAUGGUACGUCUAAGGACAAAGCAGCCAAGCUUAACUGUAGACUGGACCAAAUGAAUUCAAAGGAAAACUGAAAAUCAAUCACACGGAAAUGGAGUUUUCAGGCAAACAACCGUACAGGGCUACAUCCAGUUCAUUGCAAUUAUCCAGGAAAGGGUUUUUAAUUUUUUUGCAAGAUCCAGACGCUGGACUAGCAUGUCCUUUUCUCAGGAUUGGAUUUUUUUGGUUUGGUUUUGGCAUUUGCAGUAAUUUCUUUGAUUUUUUUUUCUCUUCCCUCUUCCAAUCGCCUCCCCUUCUCCCUUCAUUUGAACACUGUUUUUUAUUUUUUAUUAUUGUCUCUCUCCUUUUUUGGCUUUUUCUUCCUUCGGUGGGAUGCUGACAUGAGGAUGCAAAUUCUCCUUCGCCUUAGUGGUGAUUGUUUAAACUCAUUCUUAAACCGUGCCAAAGUCCUGUUAUGUCUUGAACCUCUCUCUCUCUCUCUCUCUCACUCUCUCUCUCUCAGAGCAUUAUCCUUGUGAAUGUAUUCUCGUCUGAUGGGUUCGUCCGGUAUUUUUCAAGAUGAGGCCGUGGUGUUAUUCUACCCAGAUUGUGACCGUUUAGUAAAACAGUUGCCUUUUUGUAAUACCCUUUUUUGUAAAUACAUAUCCAUGAUGCCAUAUUUAUCGUUUGUAAUUUAAUUAUUGAUACGAAGUGCCGGGAACUGAACAAUAUUUAUGGGGGGCGGGGGGAGAAGUGUUUUCUAACAAAAAAAAAAAACCCAAAACCCAACAAAAAAACCCAACAAAUUACAAAACUCUGUACAGUUUUUGGUUAUAACUGCUUUAGCAUUAAAAAUUUAUUGUUUUUGAAAGAACACAAUGGAAUAGUUUUUGAACCACUGUCUUGUAUUUCCUUAUUGCUUUGUGAACUACUCUUUACACCCAGCACUGGCCGAGUAACCACAUAUCAAGGUGUUUGUAUCUCAUCCCCAUCCUUUAUAGGAAUUGGUUUCCCUAUUGCAGGCGAGCAAUAUACAGUGUUCCUUUCAAUAGGGGAAUGAGGGUCGUUGUUGUUUUUCCUUGUCUCCGCCCCCACAUCCCAGUGGUUUGUUUUCACCUCGAGCUUCAUAUGUUUGUUCCUGCACUUUCUGCGAGCGAAUCAAAUAUUACUGACCUGUCCUGUGAGUGUCCAUGACGUGUCUCUAUCUUGCACUUCAAAGAAGAAGAGCUGCAUUUCGGCCUCCCAGUGCUGCAUCCGUAAACAUCAGAAGGAUUUAACAAUAUACGAUGGCUACUGACUAGCACCACUUGGGUACAUAUAUAGAAUGCAAGGCAGCAUUUGAAGGUGUACACAGUUCAGCUGGAGAAAGCAAUUUACUCUGUGGACUGUUAGCGUUUCCCCCCUAGCUCUAAGGAUGUGAGUAAUUUGAUGGGAGCCCUGCUGCACCUUUCAUGUCUGGGUUUCCCCCAGACAGUCCCAUCUUGAACUUGACACUGGGAAGGGCUGGACUGAGAAUACUGUUUGUUUACUUCUUGCUUUAGGAUUUCUUUUAUUUUAGGCAACUUAGAUCAAAUGCACAAGUCUUUUUUUUUUUUUUAAACAAAAGGAAAAGUUGAUCGGAAAUAACGCCUGAGACCAAGCAGAUCGAUGAGGAUCUUUGACACGAUACCUGCACUUCCAAAAUGAGGACUAGUUCGCCAGUUUCUACAAUACUCUUUUCCAUGUCCUACUUUUCCCACUUGAAAGAAUUAUCUUUGAUUUAAAAAAUGUAUUUCGAUUUCUUCUGUGGAGCUAAAUAUUUCUUUUGCGAUACACAGAGCAGACUUGGACCGCAAGGCAAUGGAUUGGAAACCCUGCACCACUAAAGUUCUCAGCUUUACACCGAAGCAAGCAGCCCUGUGCCACGCUGCAAAAUAAAGAAAAAGCGCAAGGUGAGACGUUUUGUAUUGCAACAUGCUACUAAUAAAAUAAGAACUAAAUGCAAUAGAUUGUUGCCCUGUGACAAUUAAAUGCAGCUUUUUAAAUUUUUUUUUUUUUUUUUUUUUUUACAUUUUCUGAACCUUUCCCAGUUACAUUGAGGUCGCACUAGACAAUUCUCCAUGUUCAUUUUAAAAAUGCUCUUUUAACAGUAAGUUAAGGAGUUUUGCGUGUUCACCGUCCUGACACGGGAUCUGUAACAUAAAUCUCUAAAUGCAGAUUGGCUCGGUUUAACUGAGAUGUCCAUUCCAGUGCUGUGCAGGAGCCCUAAUGUUGGCCAUUGGAUUUUGGAAUAACUUUCGGAGCGUUAAGUAGAGGGGCAGGGUCGCUGGCCCGGGCUGCGGGCUGGCUUUCCGACGUUGCAAAUCUUUUAAAUGCUGUCAGACGCUUUUUGUUGCAGCUCCGGAAGCAUCCCGGUGCUUGUUAAGCUCGCCCUUCCCCGUCUUCCGAGCCUCCGCUUUGAGCCUACGAGCCCCAGGCUCGCUGGGGGAGGAAAGGACUCGGAGCGCCGGGAAGUGUGGGGCUGGAAAGGCGGAGACGCGGCCGCCCGGAGCACACGGGGAUAUGCCAACAAGUGGUGGGUGUGUCUCGGGGGGCUAAGUCGCUGCCCCCCAGAAGAAAGGGGGGGAAUCGCAAGGGGGCGGCGUUCUCUCUCUAAAUCCAUGGGAGAGAGAAUCAUGCCAAACCGGCCCGGCCCGGAGGAUCCCCUGCCUGGAGGCUGCUGGACCCUGGAGGAUCGCCCGGCCCCGCUCGGCUCGGCUCGGCUUGACUUGCUGGCUCGUACUCCAGCCCCGCUGAACCGCCCCCUGGUUGGAGCGCAGCCCCCAGGGCGGGCAGCCCGGAUCGGCUCCUAUUUUCAUUUACACCGAGAGUCACGCUCCGAUUCUGUGGCACCAAAGCCCCG
This is an RNA transcript of Caretta caretta (loggerhead turtle), 4370 nucleotides long. It is a transcript of the gene named Zic family zinc finger 3, with no coding region annotated. The record is from RefSeq and is a predicted model, not a curated record. Lineage: Eukaryota; Metazoa; Chordata; Testudines; Cheloniidae.